AACGCAUAUUGCGCUCUUUGGUAUUCCGAAGAGCAUGCUUGUUUGAGUAUCAGUAAACACCUCAAAGUCUUUUUUUGUUAAGAGACUUUGGACUUGAGCAAUCCCAACACCUCUCUCUCCAAGAGAGAGGCGGCGGGUUGCUUGAAAUGCAGGUGCAGCUGGACUUUCUCCUGAGCUAAAAGCAUAUUCAUUUAGUCCCGUCAAACGGAUUAUUACUUUUGCUGCAGCUAACAUAAAGGGAGAUUGACCAUUUUGGCUGACUGAUGCAGGAUUUUCACAAGAGUCUUCAAACCACUCUUGUUAAACUCGAUCUCAAAUCAAGUAAGACUACCCGCUGAACUUAA
This 344-nucleotide unclassified non-coding RNA is filed under the name uncultured Mortierella. RNAcentral describes it as "sequence contains ITS2". Lineage: Eukaryota; Fungi; Mortierellomycota; Mortierellomycetes; Mortierellales; Mortierellaceae. The record is from RNAcentral.